GACGAACGCUGGCGGCGUGCUUAACACAUGCAAGUCGAACGGAAAGGCCCUGCUUUUGUGGGGUGCUCGAGUGGCGAACGGGUGAGUAACACGUGAGUAACCUGCCCUUGACUUUGGGAUAACUUCAGGAAACUGGGGCUAAUACCGGAUAGGAGCUCCUGCUGCAUGGUGGGGGUUGGAAAGUUUCGGCGGUUGGGGAUGGACUCGCGGCUUAUCAGCUUGUUGGUGGGGUAGUGGCUUACCAAGGCUUUGACGGGUAGCCGGCCUGAGAGGGUGACCGGCCACAUUGGGACGGAGAUACGGCCCAGACGCCUACGGGAGGCAGCAGUGGGGAAUAUUGCACAAUGGGCGGAAGCCUGAUGCAGCAACGCCGCGUGCGGGAUGACGGCCUUCGGGUUGUAAACCGCUUUCGCCUGUGACGAAGCGUGAGUGACGGUAAUGGGUAAAGAAGCACCGGCUAACUACGU
This 467-nucleotide ribosomal RNA is filed under the name uncultured bacterium. RNAcentral describes it as "partial 16S ribosomal RNA". It matches the Rfam family "Bacterial small subunit ribosomal RNA", at positions 28 to 506 of the family's 1533-position model. The record is from RNAcentral.